UACGUAGGGGCGUAGCGUUAUCCGGAAUUACUGGGCGUAAAGGAUGCGUAGGUGGUUUCUUAAGUCAGAGGUGAAAGGCUACGGCUCAACCGUAGUAAGCCUUUGAAACUGAGAAACUUGAGUGCAGGAGAGGAGAGUAGAAUUCCUAGUGUAGCGGUGAAAUGCGUAGAUAUUAGGAGGAAUACCAGUUGCGAAGGCGGCUCUCUGGACUGUAACUGACACUGAGGCACGAAAGCGUGGGGAGGCAAACAGGAUUAGAUACCCUGGUAGUCCCU
This 275-nucleotide ribosomal RNA is filed under the name uncultured prokaryote. RNAcentral describes it as "partial 16S ribosomal RNA". It matches the Rfam family "Bacterial small subunit ribosomal RNA", at positions 524 to 798 of the family's 1533-position model. The record is from RNAcentral.